CCAGCAGGUCUCCGCCUCAUUCUACCCAGCCCCUAUUAAAGAUGGAGUCACUUCGGUUCAAACAUCUCUGACAGUAUGAAGGCAUAUAAAAGAAGGUUUCUCCCUCACUAUUCCUCACCUUCUAAUUCUAUUUAUUAUGAAGGAUACAACUCAGGAGCAGCUAAAUGAAGAGAUGCUGAUGGCAAGGCACACUCUCUGCGUGCACCACCUUCCUAGAGCCUCACUGUGGUCACAGACCUAGAUGCUUCCACCUGGCUAGUGGAAGCAGCUAUUUAUUUGGAAAGAAAAUCCAAAUUACACAA
This is a long non-coding RNA of Symphalangus syndactylus (siamang), 302 nucleotides long. RefSeq lists it as uncharacterized. NCBI's taxonomy places the organism in Eukaryota, Metazoa, Chordata, Mammalia, Primates, Hylobatidae. The record is from RefSeq and is a predicted model, not a curated record.